CUCAACUGGGAGAGGUCGUCUAAUACUACCGUGCUUGAGAGCAGAAGAGGAAGAUGGAAUUCCUGGUGUAGUGGUGAAAUGCGUAGAUAUCGGGAGGAACACCAGUGGCGAAGGCGAUCUUCUGGUCUGUUUCUGACACUCAGACGCGACAGCUAGGGUAGUAAACGGGAUUAGAGACCCCGGUAAUCCUAGCCGCAAACGAUGUGAACUUGGCGUUGGUGGGUUAAACUCCAUCAGUGCCGUAGCAAACGCGCUAAGUUCACCGCCUGGGGACUACGGCCGCAAGGUUAAAACUCAAAGGAAUUGACGGGGGCCCGCACAAGCAGCGGAGCGUGUGGUUUAAUUCGAUGCUACACGAAGAACCUUACCCAGGCUUGACAUACAGGUGGUAGGGAUCCGAAAGGUGACCGACCCGCAAGGGAGCC
This 425-nucleotide ribosomal RNA is filed under the name uncultured bacterium. RNAcentral describes it as "bacterial SSU rRNA". It matches the Rfam family "Bacterial small subunit ribosomal RNA", at positions 608 to 1029 of the family's 1533-position model. The record is from RNAcentral.